Molecule: ribosomal RNA, 253 nt
Filed under: uncultured bacterium
Lineage: Bacteria
Description: partial 16S ribosomal RNA
Rfam family: Bacterial small subunit ribosomal RNA
Source: RNAcentral
GACGUAGGGCGCGAGCGUUGUCCGGAUUUAUUGGGCGUAAAGAGCUCGUAGGCGGCUUGUCGCGUCGUUCGUGAAAACUUGGGGCUCAACUCCAAGCUUGCGGUCGAUACGGGCAGGCUAGAGUUCGGUAGGGGAGACUGGAAUUCCUGGUGUAGCGGUGAAAUGCGCAGAUAUCAGGAGGAACACCGGUGGCGAAGGCGGGUCUCUGGGCCGAUACUGACGCUGAGGAGCGAAAGCGUGGGGAGCGAACAGG